RNAcentral lists this ribosomal RNA (253 nucleotides) under uncultured bacterium. RNAcentral's name for it is "partial 16S ribosomal RNA". It matches the Rfam family "Bacterial small subunit ribosomal RNA", at positions 524 to 776 of the family's 1533-position model. The record is from RNAcentral.
UACAGAGGGUGCAAGCGUUAAUCGGAAUUACUGGGCGUAAAGCGUGCGCAGGCGGUUUUGUAAGCCAGAUGUGAAAUCCCCGGGCUUAACCUGGGAAUGGCAUUUGGGACUGCAAGGCUUGAGUGCGGCAGAGGAGACUGGAAUUCCUGGUGUAGCAGUGAGAUGCGUAGAUAUCAGGAGGAAUACCGAUGGCGAAGGCAGGUCUCUGGGCUGACACUGACGCUCAUGCACGAAAGCGUGGGGAGCAAACAGG